UAAACUUCCAAACUCUUCGGCAAACCCUCGACCAUUCUUCUUCGGCAAACACUCACGCCAUUUCUCAAAACUUCCAAACUCUUUUUUCAUCUAACUCGUAGUCUCCAAAACUUUUCUCGCACACUCGAGUUUCAAUUUCCACAGUAACAGUGACGGUGAUGUUAAUUUCAGUGGUGACGAUUUGCUGCCUCCAAUCACUUUUAUUUUGCUGUUGUCGCCUCAAAUCUCACGGUCUACUUAUGAACAUCUCUAGUUUCAUAUAUGACUACACGUGUUUUGUUUACAUUUGUAGUUUCUAUAGUGUUUGCAUCUUACAAGUGAAUAUGAUGAUGUUGGGGAGAGCUGAAGGGGGGUAUUUACUUGGGAAAAACUAGGGUUUAGUUAUCGCUAUUUGACAGACGGGUGGGUCUGUUCUCUAAUACAACUGUGCCCCUGCAAAUACAGCUUGUAAUCAAAGUUUGUUUUUCGACUUCUUAAUACCUUCUAUAUUAAAGAUUCAAUUCUUGAAAACAUGCUUCCUCUAAGAUAGAAUAAUAAUAUAUAACUUCAAUUGAGGCAUGUUAAUCUCAGAGAAUAAAGCAAAGGAUUCAAGGAUUUAGUCUAAAUAUUUGAUGGUUUUCUUUUACUAGUUUUCAGAAAGAUCGUGCCUCUAGAAGUUGUUGAUUUGGUAUCGAGAUUAUUACAAUACCCCUCAAACCUACGGUGCCAAGCUAUGAGUAUAUGAAUAUAACUUGUAUAUUGUUUUGAUGUAUUUAGAUGCCUUAACCCAUCCUCAAAUGGAAAUACAAGUUUUGAAAAUAAGAUGAUUUACAAAGAAAAUAUGAUGGAAAAUGAUUAUGUAAUGCAGUCAAUUUUGUUUAUUAAUGACCUAGGAAUGAAUUUUGAUUUGGUAUGAUGCCCUCUAGAAUUAUAGUCUCUAUGGUAAAGUCUUAGAAAACUAUUUUGACAAGUUUCCUUUUGGCUCAAUUGUAAACUAGAGGAAGAAGAAGGGGUGAGAUUGUUUUUGGCGGUGUUGACUAUGCUCACUACAAGAAAAAUUGGCAGAUUAUAAUUACCAUGAUAAACCAUGCAAUUGGAGCAUCUAGAGUUGUAAGGAAAGAGUGCAAGACUAUUAUUGCAAAGUAUGGUCAAACAAUAAUGGACCUGCUUUUAUAUGCUUUUUUUCUAAAAUAUCAAUGAAGAUGAUAAAGAUGAGGAAUAUAAAGAGGACGACGCAAGUGAUGAAAUUCAAGAGGACGACAUAAGUGAUGAAGAAGAUGAUGGAGAUGACGAUGAGUUCGAAAAAUUUAAAUGACUUGGACGUUGUUGUUUUAGGUUUCUACUGAAGCAUUAAACUUAAAGAAACUAUUUAUUUUGUCAUUUUGUUAGACUUAGACUUCUAUGUGUUAAACUAGUAGUAUUAAAAUAUGUUAUACAUUUUGGUAAUUUGAGUUAAUGUUUAAGUGUUUAUUAACUAACUUUUGUGGUACAUGCAAUUUAUAUUUGGUGUAAUUAUUGU
Molecule: RNA transcript, 1498 nt
Organism: Vicia villosa (hairy vetch)
Lineage: Eukaryota; Viridiplantae; Streptophyta; Magnoliopsida; Fabales; Fabaceae
Gene name: aspartic proteinase-like
Exons: 4
Source: RefSeq, a predicted model, not a curated record